Passer domesticus (house sparrow) is the source of this 5019-nucleotide long non-coding RNA. RefSeq lists it as uncharacterized. Lineage: Eukaryota; Metazoa; Chordata; Aves; Passeriformes; Passeridae. The record is from RefSeq and is a predicted model, not a curated record. The transcript has 2 exons.
GGAUCCUGGUGCCACCUCCAUCCCAGGGGAUCCUGGUGCCACCUCCGUCCCAGGGGAGCCUUCCCUGGCCGUUUCUUCCCCUUUCUGGGGGACAUUUUCCCCCUCAGCUCCCACACCCCAGUAACCAGCUCUGCCACAGAGGCUCCAUAGCCUGGCUGGGGGCUGGAAUGUGAAUUCCAAGAUUUUGCCAGGACUUUUUGCACCAGCUCAGUGAGGAACCCACAAAGCCACUGCUGGCUCCAGCCUGGUGCUGGAGGAGAAAACACCAACCCAGGGAGCCAAACGUGGAGAUUUGUGUGCCCAGAACUCCCUCCCUGCCAGGUUUUGAUGAUUCCUUUCUUUUCCUUUCCCCUUUCCCUUCAAUCCCAGAGCAGAGCUGUCCCUGGGAUGUCCCUCACAGCUCCCUGUGAGGGUGGCUGGGGCCCUGCUGGCCCCACAGCUGUGGGGUGGGCAGCAAAUCUGGGCAGCAGUCACCCCACCCAUUCUGAGCACCAGGUGACAAUGGGACAGAACAGCACCUGAGCUGCUGGCACAGCUGAUCCUCACCACCCUGACUGCAGCAGAGCCCUCCCAGCCCUCUGCUUUGGAGCCAUCCUGAUGUACAGAAACAACCCCAAAUCUGCAGCUCCAGCUCAAUCCAGUCACUCCACAAGAAAGAACCUUUCAUGCUCGCUGUUGUAGGAGACAAAAGCUGCAGCCUGCCUCGCUCCUCCUGACACUUGUAAAGCUUUUCAAACCAGGCACACUAGAUUUGUCAGAACAAAGCUGACAUUUUAAAUGAAGAGUAAUGAUGAAAUGUCUAAAGAUGUGCUGCAGAGACGCUCUCACAGAGAGAGUGCUGGCAAUUUGAAUACAACAGCGAUGUGUCAUCGUGGAAAAGUCAAAGCAGGGAUUCUUUCAUGUGGCUAAAGAGGGGGAUAAAUGAUGGAAAAACUGCAGGAGCUGUGAUGAGAAGGGGGAAUUCAUCAGUCCUGGGUUUGGGGCUUCACAUGUGUGGGCACUGCAUUGGGAAUUGCACUUGUGCUGCUCCUGACGUGAGCACAGACAUUCCGUGGACAAAGAGAGGAUGGAGAGCAGAGUUUGGUUCUCCAAAAAGCCAAAGCAAACGAAGCCUGUUCAGUUCUGCUGAGCUGAAUUUGUAGAAUCCCCCCUCAGCAUCCCAGCUGCUCUAACAGCACUGAUAACGGUAAAUUUAUUGCACUGGGGGGGUCUGAGAGAGAGGUGCAGGACAGGACUUGAUUGUUAAAUAAUUUCAGUGACUGGGGAGUUGCACUUGUGCUGUUCCUGCUGUGAGCACAGACAUUCCGUGGACAAAGAGCGGGUGGAGAGCAGAGUUUGGUUCUCCAAAAAGCCAAAGCAAAUAAAAAUUCAGUUCUGUUGAGCUGAAUUUGUAGAAUCCCCCCUCAGCACUCCAGCUGCUCUAACAGCACUGAUAAUGGUAAAUUUAUUGCACUGGGGGGUCUGAGAGGGAGGUCCAGGGCAGGACUUGAUUGUUAAACUCCAAUAAUUGCAGGGACUGGGGAGUUGCACUUGUGCUGUUCCUGGCCAGAGCACAGACAUUCUGUGGAAAAAGAGUGCAUGGAGAUCUAAGUUUGGUUCUCCAAAAAGCCAAAGCAAAUAAAAAUUCAGUUCUGUUGAGCUGAAUUUUUAGAAUCUCCCCUCAGCAUCCCAGCUGCUCUAACAGCACUGAUAAUGGUAAAUUUAUUGGAAACAGCUGAGGCUCAUGGAAGAGCUGAAAUGUGUGGAAAUGCAGCUCAGCAUUUAACACCCUGCACUGGCCAGGGCAGGCCAGGGGAGUCCUGGGCUCUUUACAGGGGUGUCUGGCCCUGGAACAUCCACAUGGAUGAAUUUCAGUGAGAAUCCUGAGGUUUUAUUCUGCUUUUUUCAUCUCCUUCCCAGUGGAAGCUAAGCAUGCCUAAUGCUGUAACAUGGGGACAUAAUAAGAGGUUUUAAUCCAAUUUUCAACAGCUCUGGAUGCAAAGGAAAUUUGUGAAGCAUAUCUAAAGUAACAAAUGCCUGAGCUGGAGACCAUUUUCCAUUUUGAAAGUGAAAAUUUAUUGGAAAGCCCCAAAGAGCCACUUUUCAGGACAAGGAGAGAGUGGGGAAGCCUGAGAAUUCAGUCCUGCUCUAUCCUCUGCUGAAUCCUAGAACAGAUUUCCCUUUCAGGGCUGUAAUUUCCCUUUAUUACACAAACUGAGCCCCUCAUUUGGUUCUUCGUCUCCCUGAUCCAUAAUCAAGGGGAGAUAAUUAAACACAAAACCUCCAGUGACGAGUCAGUCCAACGUGGCAGGACACAGGGAUGUCUCUGGAGCUCCAACAAAGUAAGGAGGGCCCUUUGGGGCACUUUUUUUGCACCUCAGUCUGUCCCUGCAUUCUCUUUUCCACCUCUGCCUCCCUUGCAGAGCAGGAGGAGUUUUGUUUAACAAGGCAGGUGCUGACCCACUUUAAACUGGCACUGGAGGGAAAGGUGCUUUAAUUCCAGCCUCUCCAGGGCUGGGUUCAGGGAGCUGAGCCGGCUCUGAUGGGACAGCCCCCAUCAGGUUUUGGUUUCUUUUCUCUUUUUGGAGUUCACAGGUCCAGGAGGCUCCGUUUGGAGCAGGCUCUGCAGAGUUCAGCACAGGAACUCCCUCUUGGGACCCACGGGAGAGCACUGCCAGCCCUGGCUGAGCAGCAAUCCCCGUUACUUAAUGACUGACUGGUUCCUCUAAUUAGCCCAGCUAAUUGGGGCAGGCAGGGUUCCGUGGGCUCAGUGCUGCCUGCAGCACGGAUCCUCUGACAGGUGAAGUCACUUUUUCAGGUGUGACAUCAGAGAUUCCGAGGUGUCACAGUCCCUGUCGGGGCCAGAACUGAAGGAGCUCUUUGGGAAAUCCCACAGCUGGAUUUGCAUGGCUUGGAUUCCAUUUCCCCACCCUCCAGCUUCAUCAUCUGCAGGCUGCCAAUAUUUCACUGCUUCUCAGGCUCCCAAAGACAAAGAGAAUUAAUUCCAGUGGAUGGUGGCUGAAUAAGAAGAUGAAGGAUGGAUCUUGCAUUCCCAGCACUCCCAGCUCAGGAACAGGAGAUUUUCCAAGCACAGGCACAGCAAGAGUGGCUUCCUUCAGCUCUCACCAGCAGCCACCCCGCUCCCAUGCAUGGAUUUCACCUCUGCCAGCAGCUCAGCUCCUGUUCUGCAAAACUGCCCAGCAGACAGGGCUUUCAGCAGGUCACUGCUCGCUGCCUGGAUGACAAAAACCCGACCUGCAGGGCUUUGCAGAAUGAGGCUUCCUCUGGAUGCCUGCGGGAAGCAGCACAAGAGCACAACAAUCACAGUUCUGGACACUCAGGGAGUUCAAAGGCUCGGGCUGCAGCCCCAGCCUUGUCCAGCAUUGAUCUGAGAACAUCAGGGCACUGAAAAUGAGAAUUCUGCCAAUGUGGGAGCUGUAAUCACCUCCCACAACAUCCACCCCUUCAGCCCUCAGAGUUGCUGUAAACUUUUUCAAUAGCUCAUGGAUUAGAAAAGCCAUGCCCUGAGUUAUAACUCCUCUGUAUUAAAGUGAUCAUAAUAGAUUAGUGAUAAAUACAAAGUAAUUGAUUUUUUUUUUACAUCUCUUCCCUCCCCCAAACAAGCUUGAACUAAUAACAAUAAUUACAUGAAAGUGUUGCCAUCGGGAAGUUUGUGCAUUUCUGGCAGUGAAAUCAAUUGUUCCGAGGAAGGAUUUUAUCUGAGGAAUUAAUCAUUGCUGCCUCCAAUGACUGCACCCCCAACGUUCUCCAGGAUGUAGAACAUGCAGGGGAGCAUCUUCAUUAGGAAAUGAGGCUGUGCACAGCCCCGGAGCCUCGGGAGGGGAAAUGGGUGAGGAAAGUUCCCUGGUGGAGCCCAGGGACACCAGCCCGGCCAGGCUGAGGCUGCUGGGAGCUGCUGGAAGCGUUUCUGUCCCCACAAAGAAAUUAUUAUCCUGUGCUUCUGGCCAUGUCCCUCCCCCAGCUCGUAUCCCACGGCUCUCCUUCCUUCCUGGAGCUUGCAGCAGGUCCCAAGGGACACCCUGAGCAUCCCUGCCAGGCACCUGCACCCCCUUCUCCCAGAGCCCAAAUCCUUUAUUUGUAACUGAGCUAAAUUGCAAGUUUCCACUUCUAAGUGAUACAAAUUUGCUUUUGUGUGCAACUGGGGGGUGCUGGGCUGGCAAAAAGCUUUCCCACAGCCAUUCUUUAAUUACCUUAUUUAAAGAAUCCUUCAGGGACCAAGGAAAACUAUGUAUUUUAAACAUUAAAGUAUUAUUAGUAGUAAGCAGUAGAAGUGAUUGUUCUGGAAUAGAAAAACAUUUCCUGAAAGAAUCUGUGCCAGCCUUAAUUACACUCCCAUUGUAUUUUAUCUUCCUGCUCCCCACACUGAGACAAAGGGUGGGUGGAAAAUAAUUGAAACAAGGUGAAAAUGAGUGCUCAUUAAAUUGCAGACUACACAAGUACUCAUUCCAUGUGAGAGGGCUGUAAAUAUGACUUUUAAUGAAGUUAUGACAUGCUUGCCAAUAAAAGUCAUUUACUUCACAGUAUUACAGUUAAUUAUACACAGCUGGAGCCAUUUAUUGCCCAUCCCUUGUUAACUUUGCCUGGGCUCAUUAACCCUUUCACAGCUCUGGGCCUGAAGGAGAAGGCAGAGAGGCUUUUCAGGAGGAAUUUCUGGAGGAGGAGUGGGUGCUGCAGAGAACAGAGAGUGCAAAGCUCCAGCUCAGAUUGCACACCCAGGUGCAAACCUGGAGGAAUCCCUGCAGUUUGUCCUCUGUUCCUCUCACCUGUUCAAGGGGCUGGAAAAUGGAAUUUCCCUGGAUUUGUCUGGUUUGCUGCAGCUCAUGGCAGGUCCUCUGUGCUGUUCCCAAGAGCUUUCAGCUCCCCCAAUAUUUGCCACCCUUGUCCUGGAGUGUUUGUGAGUUGGGUUUGUCGUGAUCUGACCCACUCAAACCCAAAACUUGUGUUAUUCUGAACUGGGCAGCACCCACAUUUAAAAACCCCAAACUCAAACUGCCCAUCCAGCACCUUAAACAACUACAA